GACGAACGCUGGCGGCGUGCUUAACACAUGCAAGUCGAACGGUAAGGCCCCAGCUUGCUGGGGUACACGAGUGGCGAACGGGUGAGUAACACGUGGGUGACCUGCCCCGCACUUCGGGAUAAGCCUGGGAAACUGGGUCUAAUACCGGAUAGGACCGCACCGUGAGGGUGUGGUGGAAGGUUUUUCGGUGUGGGAUGGGCCCGCGGCCUAUCAGCUUGUUGGUGGGGUAAUGGCCUACCAAGGCGGCGACGGGUAGCCGGCCUGAGAGGGUGGACGGCCACAUUGGGACUGAGACACGGCCCAGACUCCUACGGGAGGCAGCAGUGGGGAAUAUUGCACAAUGGGCGGAAGCCUGAUGCAGCGACGCCGCGUGGGGGAUGACGGCCUUCGGGUUGUAAACUCCUUUCACCAUCGACGAAGGUUUUCUGACGGUAGAUGGAGAAGAAGCACCGGCUAACUACGUG
Molecule: ribosomal RNA, 464 nt
Filed under: uncultured bacterium
Lineage: Bacteria
Description: partial 16S ribosomal RNA
Rfam family: Bacterial small subunit ribosomal RNA
Source: RNAcentral